AGAGUGCWAAUCUGGAAACGUACCCAGGAGGUGCCGGGGCUU
Molecule: transfer RNA, 42 nt
Filed under: Hemidactylus cf. parvimaculatus AK-2014
Lineage: Eukaryota; Metazoa; Chordata; Lepidosauria; Squamata; Gekkonidae
Description: partial tRNA-Cys
Source: RNAcentral